Molecule: ribosomal RNA, 460 nt
Filed under: uncultured bacterium
Lineage: Bacteria
Description: partial 16S ribosomal RNA
Rfam family: Bacterial small subunit ribosomal RNA
Source: RNAcentral
CCUACGGGGGGCAGCAGUGAGGAAUAUUGGUCAAUGGCCGGAAGGCUGAACCAGCCAUGCCGCGUGAAGGUCAGUGCCCUAUGGGCGUUAAACUUCUUUUGUGCGGGAGCAAUAAUGGUCACGUGUGGCCAGACGAGAGUACCGUACGAAUAAGCAUCGGCUAACUCCGUGCCAGCAGCCGCGGUAAUACGGGGGAUGCAAGCGUUAUCCGGAUUUAUUGGGUUUAAAGGGUGCGUAAGCUGUGAGGUAAGUCAGCGGGGAAAUGCCCCCGCUCAACGGGGUGAAGUGCCAUUGAUACUGCCUUGCUGGAGUGCGGAUGCCGUGGGAGGAAUGUGUGGUGUAGCGGUGAAAUGCAUAGAUAUCACACAGAACACCGAUUGCGAAGGCAUCUCACGAAUCCGCGAUUGACGCUGAUGCACGAAAGCGUGGGUAUCAAACAGGAUUAGAUACCCUUGUAGUC